UACUUAAAUAUAAUAAAUAAAUAAAUCUUUAAAGUAAAUGGCAAUCUUGGAGGUGAGUAGUUAAAAGAAGGCCAUGGUAUUUGUAGUGCCAAGUGAAAUAAUAUACCUGCCAGAAGGUUAAACUAGAUAAUGAAGGAGAGACAGCUAAGAACUCUCUGGGUAGGAACAAGCUUCAAGGUUGGGUAAUAUGCUAUCCCUAAAAGGGGAACUGAUCAUAUUGUGGCAUAGUUUAUGCUUCACCAUCUUUCAAAAGCACAGCAAUCAGCUAGGGGUUAGUGGAGCUGGGUACGAUGUGUUUCUGGUAGAGCAGCUAGAUGUGAAGGUCAGAGAAGAGCUGGCUAGCUUCUGAAGACUGUGAUGUGUGCUUCUGAGAAAGACAUCAAAGGCUCUGCAUUGGGCAGGAAUCUCAGAUUCAUUGAACUAAGUCAAAUGACUAAACAACUGGCCCUGGGAGGAAGGGGAGAGUCAGUAUCCAGAUUUGCUCUAGUGUCUCUAAAUAUUCAGUUGUCAACAACAAAGAACAAAAUGUGCAAAAAAGCAAAGCGCAAGCAUGCAUGCAUGUGCGCGCGCGCGCGCGCACACACACACACACACACACACACACACACACACACACACACACAGACACACACAAUGGAACCCCAUAUACAGGAAAAUAACACAGGCAUUAGAAAAUCACCUUUGAGGGUUUAUUCUGUUUUCUUUUCUUAUAAUGAAAAACCAGAAAGUAGAUAAUUUACAAAGAGCAUUUAUUUUAUUUAGAAGGUGGAGGGUUCAAGACCAUCUGUUGGGGGACCUUCUUGCUGUAAAAUCCGGUGGCAGAGAGCCUCACAUGACAAGACAGAAAUAGGUGUCAGCUCAAGCUAUUCUAACGCUUAUGGGAAGCCUACCCUGAUGACUUUAACUAAUGCUAAGUUACUUCCAGAUCAUGUAUUUGGGCAUUAAAUUUCCAGGACAAAAGCACUUUGGCAAGGCAGCCUCCCCUCCCCCGAAACAGUGCUUUGCUCCUGCCUUACAGAGUGUUUCCUCUUGUAAUGAAAAAUGAAGUCAGCAAAUGUAGCUACUUGUAGAUAGUUAGGUCUUCCUGGAGUGUCAAGGUUUUCAUCCUGCAGAUAGCAUUUUCUGAAGCUCAGAAAAUGUAACUACCUUCUUUGUAUCUGCCAUCUUUGCUGCUCUGACCUAGAACAGCAAGUGCCCCUAUCUAUACAGGCGCCAGCGCUGUAGUCUCGGUGUGGCUCAUCUCUUUCAUAAUUCUCUCUCCUUUUACCCCGGAAAGCUGCGGGUCCUCGGGGCCUGGCCUUAGGCGAAAGUAAUCAUCGCUGGAUUGGUGGACUCUGUGUGCUGGGUCCAACAUUCCUGAGUCUCUGUGGCUUAGGUGAGGAAGAUAAGCUGCCCCAGGCCACCUGAGGGAAGGGGUUCUGGUCAAUUUUCUGGCUCCCAUUAUCUCUGUAGCAGCAGCUGUCAGCAGGUGAGGCUGGUCUUCAAGACAGAGUGAAAAGAAGCCCUUCCUUUCAGUUUCCAGAGCAUCUAGACAUGCAGUGCCUGUGUGCCAAGUUUCCCCAGUGUUUUGAGAUGGCCUUCCUGUGCAGUUCAGGCUGGCCUGCCAUCUUCAUUUCCGUGCUUCAGACUCCUGGCUGCUGAGAUUAAAGGCAUGUGCCACCCCUGAUCUUUUCUCAUUUCCCAACUUAAAGUACUCUUGCUUAAUUUUAUUUUAUGUCGAUACAGCCUGUAUCAUAGCCCGAAUUUCCUAUAAAUGAUGAAGAUGUCAUUUA
Molecule: long non-coding RNA, 1772 nt
Organism: Mus musculus (house mouse)
Lineage: Eukaryota; Metazoa; Chordata; Mammalia; Rodentia; Muridae
Product: predicted gene, 46691
Exons: 2
Source: RefSeq, a predicted model, not a curated record